UCCGGUUUGGCACCGGCAGUCUCCAAUGAGUCCCCGGCAUUACCCGCUGGCAACAUUGGACAGGGGUUGCGCUCGUUGCGCCACUUAAGGCAACACCUCACGGCACGAGCUGACGACAGCCAUGCACCACCUGUGAUGGUGUCCCGAAGGAAGGGUGUGUUUCCACACCUGUCACGAACAUGUCAAGCCCAGGUAAGGUUCUUCGCGUUGCGUCGAAUUAAACCACAUGCUCCGCUGCUUGUGCGGGCCCCCGUCAAUUCCUUUGGGUUUUAAUCUUGCGACCGUACUCCCCAGGCGGAAUGCUUAAAGCGUUAGCUGCGCCACUGACGAGCAAGCUCGCCAACGGCUAGCAUUCAUCGUUUACGGCGUGGACUAC
RNAcentral lists this unclassified non-coding RNA (376 nucleotides) under uncultured bacterium. Its description in RNAcentral is "contains 16S-23S intergenic spacer region". The record is from RNAcentral.